Molecule: transfer RNA, 72 nt
Filed under: Marmota marmota marmota (Alpine marmot)
Lineage: Eukaryota; Metazoa; Chordata; Mammalia; Rodentia; Sciuridae
Also listed under: 1 other name
Rfam family: tRNA
About the family: Transfer RNA (tRNA) molecules are approximately 80 nucleotides in length. Their secondary structure includes four short double-helical elements and three loops (D, anti-codon, and T loops).
Source: Rfam by way of RNAcentral
UGGAAUGUAGCUCAGUGGUAGAGCACUUGUCUACCAUGUACGAGACCCUGUGUUCAUUCCCCAGUACUUCAA